Molecule: non-coding RNA, 492 nt
Organism: Drosophila persimilis
Lineage: Eukaryota; Metazoa; Arthropoda; Insecta; Diptera; Drosophilidae
Source: Rfam
AGGUAAGGGAAGUCGGCAGAUUAGAUCCGUAACUUCGGGAUAAGGAUUGGUUUUGAAGAUUGAGAUAGUCGGGCUUGAUUGGAAAACAAUAACAUUGUUUAUGUGCUCGUUCUGGGUAAAUAGAGUUUCUAUCAUUUAUGGUAGUUACUUGUUCCCCGGAUAGUUUAGUUACGUAGCCAAUUGUGGAACUUUCUUGCUAAAAUUUUUAAGAAUAUUCAUUGGGUUAAACCAGUUAGUUCUUAUUAAUUAUAACGAUUAUCAAUUAACAAUAAAUUCAGAACUGGCACGGACUUGGAAAUCCCACUGUCUAAUUAAAACAAAGCAUUGCGAUGGCCCUAGCGGGUGUUGACACAAUGUGAUUUCUGCCCAGUGCUCUGAAUGUCAAAGUGAAGAAAUUCAAGUAAGCGCGGGUCAACGGCGGGAGUUACUAUGACCCUCUUAAGGAAGAUAUGGAUCUGAAUAAUAGCGUAGAAGGGAAUUUAUUCCGUAAUU